GUGUUUAUAAUUUGGCACGCUCUGUAUACGUCUGGUAGCCCGCCACCGACUGUCGCAUAGCGGGGGAAACGAAGCUAAAUUCUAACGUCAUUUUGUACCUAUACCGUUUCAUCUCUCAUUGGUCUCAUUGCCGUUUACUUCACUGGCCUUGCGGAGUACAAUGUUAUAUACUUAUGUAUUAUAAUGUAUCUUCUCUAUGUCUGUUAUCAAAAAGUAAUGCACGGUUGAAUGUAUACGUUUUGUCAUUGUGCGUACUUUCUAAAGGCAAAUGCAAAUAUCCCGUACGUGCGUUGUACUCUUUAUGUUAAUUAAUCUUUAUGAGAAAUUCUAAGCUAGCGUCUAAUUUCGAGUGCGCGUACUCUUCGCCGUUGUAGCGCAUUUUACUUCCAAAUGCUCGUACUCUUGGCCGCCUUAAAAAGGUGCUCCGUUGAUACCAUCGUAAGUUGGAGUGCAAAUACAUUACCUACCGACUAUAGUAACUGGCGCCAUACUUUGCCGACUCUCGAUAUUUAUCCCGUUCUUUCCCCUUGCGCUGUCGUGACGAAUAACCAUAACCGGUCACUGUGAGUACCUACCUACGCGUUUCUUCUGUUGUGCAAACAUUAUCUCCUGACGACUAGUUGUCAGACCUUAUGUUUUACGACCGAGUAUUAGACAAUCAUCCUACCACAUCCUGCGCUGUUUAGGAUUUGUCUGUGCGGAUUCACCUACCAAUUAUUUAGCCGUAACAUUAUGAUGAACGAACAAGCACUGCAGGGCGGCGAGCCGUUUUCGAUUCGACACGAUCGAUUUCGUCACGAUUAAAAAUCGUCUGAUUAUGCAGAUUUCGAAAAGUUGAAAAAAGACAAACAGAAAAUAAAUUUCGUAUACGAACUGUUGUACAUCCAUGUACCGAUACUAAAGAUUAGCCAACAAGCUACAAGGACAGAAUAAAAUAAAUGGAACUAAUUAUUUCCAGAAGUCUGAUUAUCGAAAUGUGUUGAACUGUUAUUCUUUAGCUGUGCUCCACUGUCCUCAAACUAAAGAUUGGAGGAUACAGCUAUCGGUUGUCUACACCAAUCGAUCUGCAUGUAUAUCACUUAAAAUAUUAUGACCUAGGCAUUCCGGACAUACAGUGGGCUCUCGACUACGGGUAUCCCAAGGAUCUACAAUACAAAGUUUACGCUAGUUUGUGGACAAGACAGUAUCUGUGUGGCUUAUUAUCCCAGUGGUAUCUUAAUGACCAAGUUAUCAAUGACUACAUGGAUCUUUUAUGCAAAGCUACCCUGAUGAUUAUUGUUUCGACACGUUUUUGUUUACGCAGUUGACUACAUUUGGUGAUGAAAAGGUUGAACAGAAGAAGAACAGUGUGGACUGUGGUGUAUUUCUAUACACAUUUGCGGAAUACCUGUGUAGAGAUGUCCAGUUAAACUUUGACCUGAUUCAUAUACUGUCAUUCAGGCAGCUAAUUUUAUAAGAGCUGACAAUAAAGAGACUGAUUGAUGUAGAUGUUCCCACAUCAGACAUCGUUGAGUUUAUAAGAAGUAUAGUUUUUCAAACAUAAGUUUUAAGAGGAUGUCAUACCUGCAUGUGUUGUCUCCGCCUUACAAACAUACAACGUAACAAAUUUUUGUUCACUAGUUUCGAUAGUGUGCUGUUAGUUUUGAUAUUAGAGUGAAUUGAUCUGUUAUCAAACUUAUUAGUUAAAACAUUACCUGUGUUCUCUCAUAAGUUGGAUGGUUUUUAAAAGAAAGGGCCCUAGUCAAAUAUUGAUACUUUUUAGGAGACACAAAAAACAUGUAACUUUGUAAAUGUUUAAUGUUUUUAAAUUUUGAAUUCAUAAUCAUGUUUAAUAAGUGUUUUGUUAUUUUACUAUUAAAUAUAUUUUAAUGUUUAUUUAUUUUCUUCAAAGUAUAAUGACUUAUGACCUAUUGCAUAUACCUGUUUGACUUUAGCCCUUUCACAUCAUGACUUGAGACUUAUUGCAUAUGAUUUUAUAAGACAUAUUUGUCAUAAAACAUCAAUACGAUAUUAUUAUUUUUUAUUACUUAUGUAUUUCUUUGAAAAUCAAGAAUGAUCACAUAUUUGUUCGUAUCUAAAAUAAAAAAUUAUAAACAUCAUUGAUAAUUUUGGUACAAGACAAAUCCAAUUUUUUUUAAAUAGCAUCUUCCUUAAGUGAAACCUUGUAGAAAAUCGUAUUUAUUUCUUCUUUUAUAUAUACCGUAACCAUUUCACUUCUUGAAAUACAAAUUUAUCCCCAAGAGUAUUAUUCUUCUUCAUAUUAUAAUAAUUUGUUUUUAAAAGACUCUGGAAAUCAUAUAGAAGUUGCUUCGAUUCAUAUCUUCGACCUUAAACUUUUCUUUUCCUGCCGUUUUAACUUUGACCAAUCAUAAGGAUGAUUUACUGAAGUCUGGUACCUUUUUCUAGCUUUUUCACUCCUGGCAUGAUCUGAAUUUCACUCCAUUCUAUUUUGACCAGGGACCAUGAAUUUAUGGUCGAUUUCUGCAAUAGAGUCAUGUUUCUCUAAAAACCAAAGACACAUUACCAUAAUAACGCUGUUUUUGUUCUGACCUCCACAACAAUCACUAUUCAUAAUUACAUGGUUUAUUUCAUCUGAAAGCUUACCUAAGUAAUCAAAUAUACAGGAACCUAUGUCAUCUCUCUCUUUUAGCUAUAGGGUCACUCCAAAUGUAACUGGAUGCAUUGGAAGAAAUAAUAUUAUGCAUUGUCAAAUUGUGAGUCCAGAGUUGUCACUUUUAAAAUACAACCGAUGACUUUAAAGAUGGUGUUGGGAGACAUUGCUGGAGAUCAAAGGCUAACACACAUGUAUUUGUUGAAACUGUUGAUGCAUCCAUUCUUUUUGAAUUAUAAGCCUCUUCUGCACUAUUUUGAUGUUCAUUUUUUUCGGUUAGAAUUUUCGUUUUGUUUUCUUCAUUCAAACGAUUUGAAAGUUGCAUUUUAAUUCAUUCACACAGAGCACACGUAUCUUUUUAGUGUUUUUUAUCUUUAAACCAGAUUCUUUAAGUCUUCUCAUAGACUGAUCUAUUUACUGUUUUUCAACAGAUUUUACAUAAUCUUCAUAUGCGCAUUGGAGUGUCAAGUAAGGAGGUAAAUAUUUCUUAGCUGUUUCCUUCCAACAGUAAUGGCUUUCAUAGCUUCCAGCUUCUUAAUAUGAUUUUUUACUAAUCCUUUAUUCUCAACACUUUUUUUAUUUUUAGGUUCUCUACGUCCCCUUCUAUCUGGUGUAGUCUUAUUUUCUGGAGAACUUAAUUUUUAUUUGCAUAUAUUUUUUAAAAAUGUUGAUGUUUCCCCAAAUAUUUUAAGAAAAUAACCCUGGCAAACCAGUUCCAAACUAUUAUUUUUAGGCAUAAAAUAAUGACGUGUAUUGUUUCUAGUUCUUUGCUUUUCUGGAGUUUCAGUUCUUUUUCUAGUAGUUUUUUUUUCAGUACAUGUAAUAUAGCCUGAAAUAUAUGCCACUCUUCUCUCAUAACUAUUCAUGGACCAAUUUAUUCUAAAUAAUUCUUCUCUUAAGUUGUCAUCUAUUUUGGUGCUACAUUUCGCUCUGCAGUCAGAUAAUGGUUCAGAACAUAUAUAAAUAAGAGCUGGGAUAAGCUCUUUAUAGUAUUAUUGUUUAUACUUAAAUUUUUUUGUUCUUUCCUGAAUACGUUCAUCAACAUCAAUUGUGUUAAACAAACUUCUUCUAAUAGUUUGUCUUUUUGGUUCAUUGUUAUGCAUUUUAGUGGUUUUAAUUUUGUCAUUAACUAUGAAUAUUAGAACUAGGUAUGCAUGUAAGAAUAUAACAAUAUUAAAUCUAUUGAACAAAACAAUAGAAUGAGUAUUGAAUUACGUGUUUUUAUUUUUCAGGCAACUCUAUAAGUAACCAUCAAUAAAUUAUUAACUAACCUAUAAGUGUUUAUAUAUUGUUAAAAUUUGGUACUUACCAGUUGCCAUCAACAAAAGAGCACGACUUCUUUUGGACAUUUUGUAUAUUGUAAUUAUUGCUAUUUUGUAUAAUAAAUACAAAAUAGGCCUAUUAAUCAUAAUUCACUUAAUGGAAAACACUUAACAACGUUUGUAAUACAAAAUUAGUGACUUAGGUCCUUUAUCAUAAAAAAAAUCUGUACAACGACUUAACACCAUACGCAUUCUAUUUUAUCUCGUAAACCAAAUCCCACAUGAUAUCUACAGUGGUACCAUUCAACGCGGCUUGAAAUUUCACACAAAAUCAAUGCAUAAACUGAAAAUGUACAAAAUUGACUUAAGCCUCUUAUCUUAAAAACCCUCCAGUUUAUUACAAUAUUUAAAUUCUUACUUAUGAGUGUGUAAAGUAUUAAUAUUUUAAAAUGGUCAUAAUCACUUAAAAUUUAAAAUACCAGAAGAAACCAAAAAGAGGACAUGAAUAAUAUUCUUAUCUAAAAGUUAAAUUAUAGAUCAAUUCACUUUAAUAUCAAAAUUAAUAGUACACUAUUAUAACUAGUGAACAAAAAUCUGCUACAUCAUAGAUAUGUAAGACGGAGACAACACAAGUGAACUCAGCAACAUCCCUUAACCAUUGCAUUUAAUUUUUAAUUGUGAGUAAUAUUAUUAGUACUAGUAAUUUCUAUUAUUAUUAAGAUAUUAGUGUUAA
Long non-coding RNA from Myzus persicae (green peach aphid), 4606 nucleotides. RefSeq lists it as uncharacterized. Lineage: Eukaryota; Metazoa; Arthropoda; Insecta; Hemiptera; Aphididae. The record is from RefSeq and is a predicted model, not a curated record. The transcript has 3 exons.